GCUAUCGUUCUAUCUGCUAAAAAUUACAUAUAGGUAUAUCGGCGGAGGUAAAGAAUAUGCACACCACCCGUUUUCGGCGUAACCCUAACCCUAAAUGUCGAAAACGGGUGGUAUGCGUUUUCGUCACCUUCGCCCACUUGGACAAAACAAUAGAUUUUUCCUCUUUGUUCAGAGAGGGAAGGGCAGUGAUCAUGUUCCUUUAUAUUUUUAAAGGUUCUCCGUGACUGGUAGGAAGAAAUAAGGAAGUUAUCUUAAAAUGGGACUCCUGUCCCGAACCUUAAAACAGAGUGAACUCUACUAAAGGUACCCAAGUACCAGGUGGUGGUGGUGCUAGGCGUUGUAUACUACCCAAAGGUUCAGAAUGUAGAGACAGAACAACUAACAAAGCAUCCCAUCCUAUGUUGUAACAAUUCCGUCAAUUUAUUCUCAUGGACUGGUUCUUUAGAUAAUGAGCUUUCUAAUUAUGGGCAUUUAAUGAUGGAUAACGAAGGGAAACAAACUAAAAAGAGUAAAUCAAUGUGAAAGAAAAUCAACCGUUAACAAGCUGUGAUGAUUGAAAAUCGUCAGUAAAGUAAAACUAUUACAUUAUCAAACUGGCGGUCUUUGGCUUUUAAGUACAUAUAACUGAGGAAUUGAUAAGGAAAGAAAAUCAAUUCCGGAAAGUACAGAAUUGGACUUGGGUAUCCCGAGUAAGCGAAACGAAUAUGUAAAUGCUUAAAAGUCGGUUAUUAAAUGUCAUUAUUGUGGAGGCGCAAUGGCCCAGUGGUUAGGGCAGCGGACUCGCGGUUUCGAUUCCCAGACCAGGCGUUGUGAGUGUUUAUUGAGCGAAAACACCUAGAGAUCCACGAGGCUCCGGCAGGGGAUGGUGGCGAACCCUGCUGUACUCUUUCACCACAACUUUCUCUCACUCUUACUUCCUGUUUCUGUUGUGCCUGUAAUUCAAAGGGUCGGCCUUGUCACGCUGAAUAUCCCUCGAGAACUACGUUAAGGAUACACGUGUCUGUGGAGUGCUCAGCCACUUGCACGUUAAUUUCACGAGCUGGCUGUUCCGUUGAUCGGAUCAACUGGAACCCUUGACGUCGUGAGCGACGGAGUGCCAACAACAACAAAAUGUCAUUAUUAUAAAUUUCUUUUAUUUGUGAACAGCCCAAUUCUUUAAAGUUGUUAUUAAUGUGAAAAAAGAAACUGCUUCGAUACUAGAUAUAUCAGCAUUAGGAUGCUACUGAGAAUAUUGGUAUUUUUUCUUUUCAAGUUACUCCUACUCCAUCACACUUGUGAUCAAAGCCCUUCCAGCUGUCAACUUGCAACUGUUCAAGAGGAAUAUUAACGGCUUCGAUUUCACCAGUCUUCUGGAGUUUGUGAAAAUAAUAAGCACAGCUCCUUCCUCUAGACCAAACCAUAAAAAAAAAAAAAACAUGGAUUCAACAA
Octopus bimaculoides (California two-spot octopus) is the source of this 1428-nucleotide long non-coding RNA. RefSeq annotates it as DNA-directed RNA polymerases I, II, and III subunit RPABC4. The record is from RefSeq and is a predicted model, not a curated record. Lineage: Eukaryota; Metazoa; Mollusca; Cephalopoda; Octopoda; Octopodidae.